AGGAGGUUGAAUAGGGUUAGAAAGACGGCAUGACUAUAUCUCUAAUGUAGACCUAAAGUGCUUCCUAGAGCUAGGGACCAGGAUUCUAAAUGAGACCUGAGGGAAUGGAGCUGUUGUUGACAAGAGCUGUUAGACAAACAGGACAUGGAGGAGGAGAGGUCAAAAGUCCGUCUGACUCACCUGUGCUGAGUGACUUGAAUGCCAUCUAAUCUAACUUCAAGAUCAUCAGGAUACUUGCCAACAAGGUCACAGUGGACUCCAUGGAGCAACUGCCCUCAGGAGGCAACAGGUCACAGUGUUUGGACACCGCAUGAACAUGCCAAUUUCCUGUGUUGUAAUAUUUUUAUGCACUUUAAGAAGACCACCAGAAACAGCAGAAUGGGGGAGGCUGAGCAAGAUGGCCAAAUAGAAGCCUCUAUUGAUCAUCCCCCCUGCAGGAACACCAAAUUUAACAACUAUCUGCAUAAAAAAGCACUUUCAUAAGAACCAAAACUCAGGUACCAGCUCAGCCACAGCGGGGUAGAGCACCAAGCUCUUGGUGUGCCCAGUUCCAGGCCUUGAUUCUUGGAUGGCCUUUCUGGACCUGCCCUGGGCCACAGGGGAGCACACUUUCCUGAAGGUGUGAUUUGCUGCUCUUACCAUUAAGAGGUGAAAUCUCUUUCCUCGCUAUUUGAAUAUGACUGUGCCUGGUGAGUGACACUGAACGAAAGAAUGCAGCAGAAGUGAUGGUGUGCCAAUUCCAAGUCCAGGCUUUACUCUCUUGAGAUUCUUGCAAACAACGAUGUGUGCAAAUCCAGGAUGGCCUGCUGGAGGGAGACAAGUGAACCAUCACCAUCUUCACCCUGACCAACAGCCAGCCAAUCAUUAGACAGGAGUGAGGACAUCCUAGGCCAGCCACUGACCUGAUGACUGCAGAUCCAUGAGUGAGCUCUGCUCAGAUCAGCUAAAUAUGGCUGGCACCAAAAGAAUGACUCAGCUGACCCACAGAUUCAUGAGUUAAAUAUGUCCCUUUUGUUUUAAAUCACUAAGUGACUUAAUGAGUGAUAAAUGGCAUAGGGUUUAAACUAUCUUGUUAUGAAGAAGAAUAGUUGAACCACUUGCUCUGAGUAGAAGUCAAUGUAAGUCACAUUUUCAAUAAAAAAUACAGGUUUGUUGUUAUAUAAC
Long non-coding RNA from Homo sapiens (human), 1164 nucleotides. Ensembl annotates it as long intergenic non-protein coding RNA 1811. NCBI's taxonomy places the organism in Eukaryota, Metazoa, Chordata, Mammalia, Primates, Hominidae. The record is from Ensembl.